AAUUCUUUUGAUUUUGGAGAAAUAAAAGUUCUGAAUUUAUUUAUACAUGUUAGUGUAAGCAUAUAAGUGAGUAAAAACUGAGAUAAAUCACAUUGUAUCAGGUUUAUUAAAAUAAAAUCUUAAUUAACCAAAGACACAUAAUAAAAUCACGUUUUAACUGAAACAAAGUAUUACCUUUAGCAGCAGUAAAGAAUUCUAUACAAUUAAUGUAAAUUAGAUAUGGUAAAUUCUUUUAAUUUUGUCUAAUUAAGUGCCAGCAGACGCGGUUAAACUUAAGAAAUAAAUUUUUAUGUAACAAUAAGUUAAUAUAUGUAGAUUCUAUAAAAAAUAUAAUUAGAAUAAUUUUGAUUAGGUUAAAUUAACAAAAUUAAUUAUUCUUAAAAAGAAGUUUAAUUAUAUAAAAAAUUGAGAUAUGAAAGAAAAGAUAUUAAAUAGGAUUAGAUACCCUAGUAAACUUUUCUGUAAAUAAAGAAAAAUUCUACUUGAACAGUACACUCAAAGAGUGAAAAUCAAAAAUUUUGGUUGUUUAUUUUCUAAUUAGAGGAAUAUGUAUUUUAAUUCGAUAAUCCGCGAAAAAUCUUACCUAUUUUUGAAUUAUCAGGUACUGCAUGGUCGUCGUCAACUUAAAUAUAUAAUUUAGGUUAAAUUCUUUUGAGAAUUAAGUCAGAUAGUAUGGUCCUUAUAAAUAGGGAUAAUAUGUAUUACAAUUAUUAUUUUAAUUUAAGAAUAAUAAUGGAAUAUAAAUGUAAUUUUAGAAGAAAGAGAAUUUAAUAGUAAUUGAAAAAUAUAAUGUUUCAAUGAAUUAGUUCAAAUAUGAAUACAAAUUGCCCGUCGCCUUUCUUAAUAAUUAAGAAUUAAAAAGAGAGUAAGUCGUAACAUAGUGGGAGAAAGGGAACUUUUUCCUGAUAAUGG
Molecule: ribosomal RNA, 912 nt
Filed under: Spirocodon saltatrix
Lineage: Eukaryota; Metazoa; Cnidaria; Hydrozoa; Anthoathecata; Polyorchidae
Description: 12S ribosomal RNA
Source: RNAcentral